Small nuclear RNA from Mastomys coucha (southern multimammate mouse), 108 nucleotides. The record is from RefSeq and is a predicted model, not a curated record. NCBI's taxonomy places the organism in Eukaryota, Metazoa, Chordata, Mammalia, Rodentia, Muridae.
GUGCUCGCUUCUGCAACACACUAUUCUAAAAUUUGAACAAUACAGAGAAGAAUAGCAAGGCCCCUGUGUAACGAUGACACCCAAAUUCAUGAAGCAUUCCAUAUUUUU